RNAcentral lists this ribosomal RNA (425 nucleotides) under uncultured bacterium. Its description in RNAcentral is "bacterial SSU rRNA". It matches the Rfam family "Bacterial small subunit ribosomal RNA", at positions 359 to 775 of the family's 1533-position model. The record is from RNAcentral.
GAAUAUUGGACAAUGGGGGGAACCCUGAUCCAGCCAUGCCGCGUGUGUGAUGAAGGCCUUUUGGUUGUAAAGCACUUUAAGCGAGGAGGAGGCUACUUUAGUUAAUACCUAGUGAUAGUGGACGUUUCUUGCAGAAUAAGCCCCGGCUAACCUUGUUCCAGCAGCCGCGGUAAUACAGAGGGUGCAAGCGUUAAUCGGAUUUACUGGGCGUAAAGCGCGCGUAGGUGGCCAAUUAAGUCAAAUGUGAAAUCCCCGAGCUUAACUUGGGAAUUGCAUUCGAUACUGGUUGGCUAGAGUAUGGGAGAGGAUGGUAGAAUUCCAGGUGUAGCGGUGAAAUGCGUAGAGAUCUGGAGGAAUACCGAUGGCGAAGGCAGCCAUCUGGCCUAAUACUGACACUGAGGUGCGAAAGCUUGGGGAGCAAACAG